RNAcentral lists this transfer RNA (76 nucleotides) under Rhizoctonia solani. Its description in RNAcentral is "tRNA-Glu". It matches the Rfam family "tRNA". Rfam says of the family: Transfer RNA (tRNA) molecules are approximately 80 nucleotides in length. Their secondary structure includes four short double-helical elements and three loops (D, anti-codon, and T loops). Further hydrogen bonds mediate the characteristic L-shaped molecular structure. tRNAs have two regions of fundamental functional importance: the anti-codon, which is responsible for specific mRNA codon recognition, and the 3' end, to which the tRNAs corresponding amino acid is attached (by aminoacyl-tRNA synthetases). tRNAs cope with the degeneracy of the genetic code in two manners: having more than one tRNA (with a specific anti-codon) for a particular amino acid; and 'wobble' base-pairing, i.e. permitting non-standard base-pairing at the 3rd anti-codon position. The record is from RNAcentral. Lineage: Eukaryota; Fungi; Basidiomycota; Agaricomycetes; Cantharellales; Ceratobasidiaceae.
UCCAGUAUGGUGUAACGGCUAACAUUGUCGCCUUUCAAGUUCGCGACGGCUCAGGGUUCGAUUCCCUGUACUGGAG